UAUUCCAUGCAAUGUGUUUCUUUCAACCAGUCCGAUUAUUUUCAAACCAGUGGAGAAUCAAUCAAGUUUUAAACAAAUUAUUAUCAUACCCGAAUAUUUCAGGUUACAGGGCAGGGGCGUCCUGAAAUGUUGGAGGCCAUCUACCCUCUCUCUUGCUGGGACAUCGCAUGAAGAAGUUGAGUUAGGCGUUUACUCUAAUAUUUCACUCACACUAGUUAGUGACAUAACAAGAGAUCAAUGACUAUCGACGAGCAAUCGCACUUGAAGAAAGAGGAAGAAAAUGGUACGAAUCCUAAGAUCAAUAGGUACUGGAUUCAACGUUACGAUCUGUUCUCGAGGUAUGACGAAGGUAUCCAAAUAGAUGAAGAAGGAUGGUACUCUGUGACUCAUGAAGAGAUCGCCAUCAACCACGCAGAGAGGUGCCAUGGAAAAGUGGUGAUUGAUUGCUUCGCAGGCGUUGGUGGUAACACUAUUCAAUUUGCUAAAGUUUCUUCUUCUGUAAUCGCUAUCGACAUUGAUCCAAUGAAAGUUCAAAUGGCUAUGAACAAUGCAAACGUCUAUGGAGUUGCUAAUCAUGUGGAUUUUGUCGUUGGUGAUUUCUUCAGUUUAGCUCCAUCUCUCAAAGGAGAUGUAUCGUUUCUUUCUCCACCAUGGGGAGGACCAAAUUAUUGCAAAGUCGAGAGUUUCAAGAUGGAUAUGCUUCAGCCAAGAGACGGGUACUCAUUGUUUAAGAUUGUUCAGUCCAUUACUCCUAAUAUCAUCAUGUAUCUACCGAAAAAUGUUGAUUUAGCACAGUUGGAAGAACUGGCUUCCCUCUCGUCACCUCCCCUAACUCUUGAGAUAGAAGAAAGUUGUAUUGGAGGCAAAAUGAUAGCCAUAACGGCUUAUUUUAGUCGCAAUGCGGCUUAGCUGAGAAAUUUGAACUUGCAUCAAAAAGGAACUAUCUUUUCUGCAGCAGGGGACAGAGGAAUUGACUCCUGAAGGAGUUAAUACAAUUUCUUGAAGAGAAUUUUUGAAAUAAAUAGUUAUGAUUAUUGUUCCAAGGAUACAGAAUUCUCAUUUCAUCUUUCCACUUUAUGCAGGAUUCUAUCACAUGGAUAUUUGAUACAAAUUCAAUGCAUCAUUCGUAGAAAAUAAAGAAUUCACUCUCCUUUCCCGUUAGUUUAUUCGGUUAGACUCCGUUGAUAUCGACUGUAAAAAAGUCGAGCACUGAUGAGUGAUGACAAAAUUUAUGGUACAAACAAACAAACCCAUUUGAAAAGUUCAAAAGCCCUACCCGCUCCCUUGCAGACAACCUAAUCUCAAUCUUGUUUUCACUGGUAUCCGACCGCUGUGUCGGUGCCGGUGUGACCUCUUUCUCUUUACUUUUGUGUAUUGCUUUGGUUUUUCUCUGGAGACUCUUCUCCAUCUCAUGUCUACAUGUUUGCUUGCUCUGUUGUCUCGGUGACGACGUCUCUGUUCGACUGUUCGGAAUGGAGGCGUUCGAAGGGCAGGUAGUGGAGUAACGACAAGACAUGUGUGAAGGCGUUGGCAGCUCCAGAUCUUUGUCUUUUUUUGCUCACUGGAUUUGGAGUGUGUAGAUCCAUCCGGCUUUCGUUCUCAUUGGUUGGUUUGGAUCAAUAACCAGUACUUGCUUCAAGGGCCUUGUUGAUUUGUUUACUAUCGAAUCACCUCUCGAUCGUGGGUUUGGCGAGUAAGAGAAGCUUUGUUCUUCGGUUCUCGUUGACGAAUCGCGUAUUAAUCACCGGCUCUGUUGGACCAUCCCAGCAUCAUCGUUUGGGCUGUGGCCUUCUCGUUGAUGGGUCAAAAUCUUUUGCUUCUCUUUCGCAGGCGACGUGUCAAAACGAGCUUUCAUUCAUUCCUCCCAAAUCCCUCUCCACUCCUCCAAGAUGGGUCCUAAAAAAAAGCCAGCAGCACCUACUUACUCUCAGAUGUUUCAUGAUGGUGUCAGGACAUCUUCUUCCGGUCCGUCAUCUUCUGAGGCAGUUCCGGACUCUCAGUCAUCCCAGAGAGUUUCUCGGAGUCAUCCUCCUCCUGCAUCUCAUAUGCCUCCACUUCCUCCUUCUCCAGCCGCUGCACCUCAGCCUGUCCCAGCAGGUGUGCCUCCAUCUGCCCCAUACGCGGGAUAUACAGUGGAGUAUUUUCUCACCCAGCCUGGACGAGAGGGCUUGGAUUUUCUUGAUCCCAACAGACCGCGGGAAACUUAUUAUUUUUAGUACAUUAAAAUUUUACUUAAUUUUUUUAACAAUUAAGUUCUCUUUUCAGUUUUGGGGCCAACAACCGUGUUGACCGGAGCGUGUCAAAGACGAUAAAGGGCUACUACGACGGAGCCUACCCGAAUUGGAGCAAGAAUCCAGACCACGUUAAGACGACUUGGUUUAAAUGAUUUGCGGGAAUUUAUUUAUUUUUUUUAAAUCUAAUUAAAUAUUUAUAUCAAAUUAAAUAUUUAUUUUAUUUUUUUUCAAAAUUUUGUUUGUUUCAGCAAAGGUGGCACUGGUCCUUGGGAAUCAACAAGAGGGUGAAGAGGGAAUUCGUUGCAAAGGCAAAGACCUGCCUUUGCAACACUGUCUCCGAUUGGAAGGACAAGUGGGAGAUCUACGGUUAUGACCGUAAGCCCACCGAGCUCACGAAAGAAGUAUGGGAUGAUCUCAUCGCCUUUUGGAAGCUACCCUCUUCGAUCCGUAAGGCCAACUCGUGCUCCGCUUCCCGAAGAACGAAGGACAAAGAUGGUUAUUUGCCCAUGGUUCACAGAACCGGACAAAAGCCUCAGCCGGAAUCCGUCUAGAAGCUGGAAAUUGUUUCUAAUAUUUAUUUUAAUUUUUUUAAUUAAUUUAAAUUUUAAUAUUUUAUUUUAUUUAUUUUUUUGUAGUAUGAGAAGACGGGAGUCUUACCAUCUCUGUCUGAUCUAUUAAAGAUGACUCACGCGACAUCAGACAUGAUUUUUGUGGAUCCGACAUCCGAGAAACUCUUCAACGCAGUGGCUUCUCGGGUUGAAGAGCGGGAGACACAAUUAAUCCAGCAGUCUCCUGGUGGAUUACCCGUCAAACUGACCACCGAAAAGGUCGACAUGAUUUUCGAAGAGGUAAAACUUUAUAAAUUUAUUUAGAUAAAUUUAACUAUUUAUUAAAAUUUAACUAUAUUCAUAUGUUUUUAUAGGUGGCUCAUAAAAAGAAAGAACAGACAGUGGGUAUAGGUUCUGUUAACGAAGUUGCUAAGGCAACUUUGUCAUAUGCUUCGAGACGGGACGAAGAGAACUCUCAGAUGAGAGCUCGGAUGGAUAGCCAUCAGGAUCGUUUAGACUCUCUUGAAGAUCUGUUGGACGUGAUGGCGGUGGGAAACCCGACUAUGAAGAUAGCACUAAAUGAGAGACGAGCAGCUCUCGGGAUGCCAAUACGGAAUCCCGAAGAUGCUGAUCCAGACCGUUCUCAACCGAGCACCGACACCGACUACUUCGAUAAUAUGUAGUAGUUUUUUUUUCCGUUUUGUACUAUGAAUUUAAAUAUUAUGUUAUGACUUUUAAAUAGUUUUUAAUAAUA
Molecule: RNA transcript, 3536 nt
Organism: Brassica rapa (field mustard)
Lineage: Eukaryota; Viridiplantae; Streptophyta; Magnoliopsida; Brassicales; Brassicaceae
Gene name: trimethylguanosine synthase
Source: RefSeq, a predicted model, not a curated record